This 1157-nucleotide long non-coding RNA is filed under the name Homo sapiens (human). RNAcentral's name for it is "HSALNT0347077". Lineage: Eukaryota; Metazoa; Chordata; Mammalia; Primates; Hominidae. The record is from RNAcentral.
ACUGUGCUCCCCUCCCUACUCCCGGCCCGUAGUGGAGGUGACUUUCCUGCGCAGCGCCGCUUCUGAGGGCGGAGAACCCACAGGGAGUGCGACCCCUUUGCACGCUGUGAGUGGGCAACUGUCCGAGGGACUCGAGCCGAUCGAAGGCUGGACGCCCUAUAGGGCUCUUGGCAGUCCACGAAAGACCUGGAGUCCGCCUCCCCAUUUCUCCGGUCGGUGAGUGGCAGGAGGAAAUCGCCAAACAUGUUUUCCCGCUUUGCCUCCCCAACUCGGAAACUUGCAACUUGCCGUGUCCUGGAGGUUGAGACAAUUUGGGGUCUCUUGGCUGCCGUCCAACAGAUUUAUCUCUGAGGGCAGUGUCCUUGGUGAGAGGUCCAAGUAGGUGUGGGCGACAUUGUCCUCCAUCUCAUGAGGGAGCAGCCCUGCACACUAGGGCCCAAAACUCUGCGAAGGAGCUUGGAAGUUCUUCAUCCGUUCCACUUGUUUUGCUACUCCACACACCCUUCUAGGACAUGUUGAUUGCCAACUGCUCUGUGCAGCUUUCCCAUAGCUGUCUGUUCCCGUGCAUUUCGGAGCACCAAGCAAAUACGAGCAGAGAGACCUGGAAAAAAAAAUGAUGAAGACAGUAUUAAUGAUAAAAUUAACAUGGCUGAGUGAAUUGUCAAUGCAAGUUCCUUUACUAACUCUUUGUUAAGUUUUGCUUUGUACUCCUUACAUCCUCUUUCUCUUAAGCCAUUGUUUUAAUUUCUUCUCGUUAUCAUUUUUAAAAGUAACAGAAAUACAGCUUUCUUCCUACCUUCACGAUUGACUUGGUGGAGGUUGGGUUGCAAAGAGGAAGCAGUAAGAAAAAAUAAUUAUUCUAUACAUUCACAAGUCCUUCAAGGCACAAAAUAAAAGUAAGAAAUAGAAAAUAUGUCCUUUCUCCUAAUAAAGGUCUUUAUAAUAAAAUUUAAAUGAAGUUUUGUGUUUCAUAACAGCUUCCCAAAUACUGUUGUAGAUACUAAAAUGUGCCUGUAUGUAUUUCCUUCCACAAUAAUAAUAGUAAUAAUAAACUUUUUUAGGUCCAAAUUAAACAUUUCUCAGCUUAAAUUUCUAUCCUCAAUCCAACAUUUAUUAUAUCAAAACUUGAUUUUUAAAAAUAAAACUUUCUUGGAAUU